CCUACGGGAGGCUGCAGUGGGGAAUAUUGGACAAUGGGGGGAACCCUGAUCCAGCGACGCCGCGUGAGUGAAGAAGUAUUUCGGUAUGUAAAGCUCUAUCAGCAGGGAAGAAAGAAAUGACGGUACCUGACUAAGAAGCCCCGGCUAACUACGUGCCAGCAGCCGCGGUAAUACGUAGGGUGCAAGCGUUAUCCGGAUUUACUGGGUGUAAAGGGAGCGUAGACGGCGAUGCAAGUCUGAAGUGAAAGGCGGGGGCGCAACCCCUGGACUGCUUUGGAAACUGUAUGGCUGGAGUGCAGGAGAGGUAAGUGGAAUUCCUAGUGUAGCGGUGAAAUGCGUAGAUAUUAGGAGGAACACCAGUGGCGAAGGCGGCUUACUGGACUGUAACUGACGUUGAGGCUCGAAAGCGUGGGGAGCAAACAGGAUUAGAUACCCUAGUAGUC
This 443-nucleotide ribosomal RNA is filed under the name uncultured bacterium. Its description in RNAcentral is "partial 16S ribosomal RNA". It matches the Rfam family "Bacterial small subunit ribosomal RNA", at positions 338 to 795 of the family's 1533-position model. The record is from RNAcentral.